AUGAUUAAUGCAACGUUCUCCGUUUAUUCAAGAUAAGGUGGUAGUUUAUAUAAGCUUCCACAUAGUUUACAGAAACAAAGACACUCUAAUUGGUAGGCUAACAUUGUUUACCUUUCCCUUAAAACGGCCUACACUUUACACCAUAAAACCUAUACUAAUUCACACCCCGUGGUCCCCACAGUACUUUAAGACUAUUUUCUAUCUGCGCCACAACCCUGAAUUUCUAACUGCGUCAGAGGCUUUGAGGGCCCCACCAGGCCUCAAUCUGAGGCCUAGCCUGGAGUAGCUCAACUUUCACAAUUCAUGCCCUCUUUCUCUUAAAAAUGCUGUAACAAUUCCCUCUUUUUCUUUUGAGCUACUCAGGCUGGAGUGAAGGCUCAAUGAACUAAUUUUUGCACACACUGUCUUUGACCCAGCCAGAAAACCCUGAAGAAUUGAGCCAGUUAUCAAAUGAAGUGUCCAUUUGGAGAACACUGCGUUUGGCUCGUUGAGUCUUCGGAGGCAAUUCGAGAACCUGAUGUAUGGUGGGAGCAAAAAGCAUCAACCUACCGAUAUAACAUGGGCCUCCCCUAGCAUUUUGAGGGACUGCUGACCAGGCUCGGUCCCCACAAAUGAGGAAGGUUCCUGGGGGCAGUUUUCCUGCACUACCUCUUGGCGGUGUCACAGAUUGAGUCGAAUUGUUACAAUAUUCUAAAUAGUUGUAUUACAAUGGUGAUCUGGGAGACAAUCAAGUGUUGUCAUCUGUCAAUUUUCCAUUUUCUUGAGUUGGUUUGGUAGCAUAAGAUCCAAAUAUCAAACAGUAAUUUCCUGGGACAGAACCCAAAAGACCAAAUUCUUGAAAACUAUCAUCAGUAAAUUUAAGGUUUUGCACAAAUGCAACAGCUUGCGCUCCCAGAGUGCUAUUUAAACUUAUUUGAGCUCAGGUCCAAGUCUUGAACUCUGCCAUGGGACCCAACGAGACUCCAAAAAUUAAACAAGUACGAAAUAAAAACAUUGAGGCCCACCACAUUCUUCUCAGGUUCUUGAAUGCCCUGUCUAACAUGAAAGAAACAAUCUUAAUUCUAAACAUAAACUAUAACUUCUAAUAAACUAACUUCUGAUAAAUCUAACUUCACACUUAUGAUAUUUCAACUUAUUUUUCUGUUUCAUCUAUUUUUAAAAUUCUGUUUCUGCCUUUUCGUAUCAAUGCAGCAAGAGCAUCUGUCCUGUCCAUCACACGACUUCUUGGUUGGAUGGGUAAAAACACUCACUCAAGUAGAAUUUCUGCUGAUCCCCGUUGGGACCUCCCUCUUUUUCUUUUGCCAUUGAAAGACAAUGGCAAGAUGAACAGAAAAAUCACAGGCAUUACUAAAACUUAUUAAAAACUUAGCAAAAAAAAAUUCUAUAACAUCAUUAAAAACACACUUAUAAAAAAAAAACUCAAAGCCCACGAUCUUCUGUGGGUGAAACACAAAUCUUUGCACAAUCCACUUUUGCUGUGCAUCCUCUGAUCCACUUGUGGAGAGAUCAGUGUCCUCUUGCAAUUGAGAAGUUCCACAUCCUUCACUGAAAUCCAUUUUGAUUCUGCACCUGUUAAAACACAAACAAACCCAACACUCCCACAGGGACUGGAGGGUCCUCUCUCAAUUCUGUUCCCUAAAACUUGCGUGAAGAAAUGGAAAUAUCAACAUCUUUGUUAUAAACAUGAAAAACAUUAAGAACAAAACAAUGCAUAUAGGAAAGAAACUAACAACAAAUAAAAAUCAAUCAAAUAAUACACAAUCAAUAUUACAUAUAAAAUCACAGUUACCAAGUGCUACACUAUCAAAUUGUCAUCCCAGAGUCUGCAGCAGCUGAAAAACCUUAAAACAACAGAGAUUUGGAUAAAACAUGUCCGGAUCAUGUCUCUCCAAAACCUCCUUUGAGGCUCAGCUGUCCUGUAUGGUCAAAUUGUCAAGCCAAAAGGACUUGAAUACUUUUGUGAUGCAGAAAACACCUGGAUCAAUCACAUCAUCCACGUAGAGCCAGAGCCUGGCCAGAGCUCAAACUCUAAUUGGAGGAUAUGUUUAAAACAAAAGUCUUAAAAAUAACAGUUAUAAGUGAAAAACCUUAUUAUUAACAAUUUAUCAAAACAUCAAAUGAUUGAACCUGUCUAAAAUUUGUUUCAAGACAAAAAUUCUCUAAAUACAACAAACCUUUUCUUCAAAAAUCUGAGAAUUUGAAGUCUGAAAUCUUGAACCAGAACUUGGACUAUAAAUUUUUAAAAGAUGAACUGCAGCUGCAUAGAAAAUUGAAUAAAGAAAACACAUGAGUAGUUAAAAAAUCAAGCACACAGGAUCCUGAAAAAUACAUCUCACAAUCAAUCACCUAAAAAAAAAACCCCCAUAAAACAUAUGAAAACUGACUGUAAAUAUUAAAACAACAUCUCAAUACCUUAACAUCUUAAUAAUAAUUCUUAUCACAAAAAUCAGACAACUUACAUUAUAUGAUCAACCUAUUAACAAAAAAUGUUUAAAAUAGUUUAAAACAAUCUUGUCAAGCAUUCAUAUAACAUUAGUAACAAUCAUUACUAUUUAUCAUUACCUACAAAAACUUGACAAUUAUCAUUUAUCUUAUUAUCUACAAAACUCAAAACAACAUUCCAUUUGACUGAUUUUUCUCAAAUCUUUGCUUUCAAAGACAUUUUUAGCAAUUAAAUAAUUAUUAACAUUUCUAUCCUUUUUUUGUUUUACAGGAAUUUUCAUCCACAUUGUAUUUGAAAUAACUUUGAUUUGCAUAAUGUCCAUCCUUCUUGGUAUCUUGGAAAACACUCAGUAUUGCUAUACUUUUUCAUUACGUCUUUUGUCUCUUGCAAGGAAUUAGAAAAAUGCUGUUGAAAUUUUUGCUGUAGUGUUGCCAUCUCGCCAUCGGUGGCACUGCUGCUCCCGGCGUCGUUGUUACCAUGGCAACCAGGCUGUGCAGCGCCUCCGCCACCAUUGCUGGGCGCUGCGGGGGGGGGGGGGAAAGGGGGGGGGGGGGAACGGGACGGUGCCGUCUCGCUCCCGUCCUUGCUGCGUCACUGUGGGGACGGGCGAGGAGACGCUCCUGAUGCGGCCGCGCCCCGCCUGCUCCGACUCCAGCGCGGCCGAGCCCCGGGGAAUGCCCGUCUCCACCCUUGCGCUGUUGCUCAGCAACAAGGAACCUUCUGUGUCUCGGCCGAAGUCCGCUCCGCCCCGGGGCCGCCUCAGGCUCGGUGCUGGCCGGCCCCGCUCUGCCUGGCCCCGCUCUGCCUGGCCCCGCUCUGCCUUAGUUCUGCCAACCCGUUCCGCAAGGGACGAGGAAGGGCUUUCUGUAACUUUUUCUUGCCUUUGUAUCUUGCUUUGUGAUCGCUUGUUUCUGCUACAAUUGACAUGCCGCGCCAGGUUGCUCGCCGCCGCCGCCGCUGCUGCGGGGGGGCGAGGGGCCAGCACUGCUUCUCUCCCAUCUCUGCCCUCUAUCACUGCGUGCCAAAGCAGCUGGCCCAGCUCUCGCCACUCGGUUUCACUAAAAAGCAGGGAAGGUUUUUGCAGCUUGCCUUUGCUUCUUGCCCAAAUGACCAACUGUUCUAAAUCGGCUUCUUUAACUUUUUCAGCUCUCUUUGAGAGAAUAUGAAAGAGCAGCCGCACUGAAGCCUGUAAAUCUCCAUCCAUGGUGAACUUUCACCCUCUCUUUCUGCACGCGGCUUACCUCAGUCUCCGCGGGUUGCUUCGCUCUCGCUUUUCUUCGGCAAGGCGGCACCCCCGCUCCAGCUCUCCGGCCCCGGCCACGUCCACACCCGCCGUUCAGGUACCUUGUGAACACCGAGGUCUUCCCACUGCUCCAACGGACUCUCGCAAGCAAACAACAAUGCGAAGAGUCUUUUUCCUCCCGUUGGGAAACGGCCCAAUUCGGAGUUUGGAGACUUCUGCUCCGUUCUACCUGAUCCCCGUUCACAAAAAGUGAAUUUGGGAUCCCGGUCCCGUCACCAUGAGGCGAUUUGGACCUAAAUUCCUGUCGCGCGACUCAAACCUGACUGCCCGUUACUCUAAAAGUAAUUUGGCAGCCUUCUCGGAGCCUCCUGAGUCCCUGUGCGGGCGCCACUUAAAGCCAGGGAAUCUCAGAAAAACGGAAAGCUGGACAAGACAAACGCACAUCCAAUCAAUAUGAUUAAUGCAACGUUCUCC
This is a long non-coding RNA of Taeniopygia guttata (zebra finch), 4160 nucleotides long. The record is from Ensembl. Lineage: Eukaryota; Metazoa; Chordata; Aves; Passeriformes; Estrildidae.